UCUGUCUGUAACACCAGUAAAUCUUCCCUGAGGUCAGUCUCUUCCCUGAGGUCAGUCUCUGUCUGUAACACCAGUAAAUCUUCCCUGAGGUCAGUCUCUUCCCUGAGGUCAGUCUCUGUCUGUAACACCAGUAAAUCUUCCCUGAGGUCAGUCUCUUCCCUGAGGUCAGUCUCUGUCUGUAACACCAGUAAAUCUUCCCUGAGGUCAGUCUCUGUCUGUAACACCAGUAAAUCUUUCCUGAGGUCAGUCUCUUCCCUGAGGUCAGUCUCUGUCUGUAACACCAGUAAAUCUUCCCUGAGGUCAGUCUCUGUCUGUAACACCAGUAAAUCUUCCCUGAGGUCAGUCUCUUCUCUGAGGUCAGUCUCUGUCUGUAACACCAGUAAAUCUUCCCUGAGGUCAGUCUCUUCCCUGAGGUCAGUCUCUGUCUGUAACACCAGUAAAUCUUCCCUGAGGUCAGUCUCUUCCCUGAGGUCAGUCUCUGUCUGUAACACCAGUAAAUCUUCCCUGAGGUCAGUCUCUUCCCUG
Molecule: long non-coding RNA, 525 nt
Organism: Oncorhynchus tshawytscha (Chinook salmon)
Lineage: Eukaryota; Metazoa; Chordata; Actinopteri; Salmoniformes; Salmonidae
Source: Ensembl